Pelobates cultripes (western spadefoot toad) is the source of this 399-nucleotide non-coding RNA. NCBI's taxonomy places the organism in Eukaryota, Metazoa, Chordata, Amphibia, Anura, Pelobatidae. The record is from the annotation of a GenBank genome assembly.
CUUCUCUAUAGUGCUAUCUGUUAGAAACUGCAAUAUCCCCAGCAUUCCACAAUGCACGAAGUAGCAGCAUUGAACACUUUUUACUCUACUAAACUACAGCAGCAAAAACUCACGGGGAGAAAAGGAUACUUUUCAUCAUUCCCAAGAAAUCAUUACCGCUUUUAAAUUCUAAGCAUGCUCUUGCCUAUGUUCUUGGAAGCCGCAAGGAUAUUUAGUAUUCAAGUCUGUCCCUUACCCCACACUACAUAUACAAAUGAAGGGAAUUAUUUUCUGAAUACACGUCCGAAAGACAAUCCUGGGAUAAGUCUAUGUAUCCAUGUUGGCCACUAAAAAAAUCCACAGGAGUUUCCGCUUUUCCUCCCCCGACUAUGAUAUAAUACAGAGACUUUUUUUGUUUUG